Molecule: long non-coding RNA, 440 nt
Organism: Callorhinchus milii (elephant shark)
Lineage: Eukaryota; Metazoa; Chordata; Chondrichthyes; Chimaeriformes; Callorhinchidae
Exons: 3
Source: RefSeq, a predicted model, not a curated record
UGUUUGUAGAUGUUGGGGUGUUGGUGGCAUAAAUUAGUUAGUUGCCGCGUUGGUCUGAGCAUUUCAGAAUUAAGCCCAUUGUGUCAAGUGCUUCAGGAUACUUGAACCUAAUAAAGCGUUUACAUCCGGAGGUCAAUAUGAUUUUCGUCUACUUGCCUAAGAUUUCAAGGAAUUAUUAUCCCCGGAAAAGCGAUCCGCCAAUCGACUAUCAACUGGGUUCUUACUUGGUGCUAGGUUAUCAGAGGCUCAUGGCUAAGGAAACUUGCUCAGUGUUUCACCCUGCUGGGAAUCAAACCCAGGUCUCUCACUUGCGAGGCGAGUGCUCUAACGACUGAGCUACAAGACUCCACUCCAGGACUGUGUUUUUUGUGGGCAAAAUGCAGAAGCCAAUUGUGUGCAUGUGUGUGUGUAUAUGUAUGUAUGUAUGUAUGUAUGUAUGU